This 330-nucleotide ribosomal RNA is filed under the name uncultured eukaryote. Its description in RNAcentral is "partial 18S ribosomal RNA". It matches the Rfam family "Eukaryotic small subunit ribosomal RNA", at positions 1470 to 1796 of the family's 1831-position model. The record is from RNAcentral.
CCCUUAGAUGUCCUGGGCCGCACGCGCGCUACACUGAGUGUCUGAGAUACGAGUCUGCCUGGUCCGGCAAGGUCUAGGUAAUCGCUAAAAGACACAUCAUGCUUGGGAUAGAUUAUUGCAAAUAUUAAUCUUGAACGAGGAAUUCCUAGUAAGCGCAAGUCAACAGCUUGCGUUGAUUACGUCCCUGCCCUUUGUACACACCGCCCGUCGCUACUACCGAUUGGGAAAAUUUUAGAGAGUCCUGGACUGAUGAUUGUUCGGCUUCACGGCCUUACUUUCGUCGGGAAAGAAUUCGAUAAUAUUUUUCUAGAGGAAGUAAAAGUCGUAACA